AUUGAACGCUGGCGGCAGGCCUAACACAUGAAAGUCGAGCGAGCGGCGGACGGGUGAGUAAUAUAUGGGGAUCUGCCGGAUAGAGGGGGAUAACUACUGGAAAAGGUGGCUAAGACCGGAUACUAUCGGAGGAACCAAUGUGGGAUUAGAUAGUAGGUGGGGUAAAGGCUCACCUAGGCGACGAUCUCUAGCUGGUCUGAGAGGAUGACCAGCCACACGGGGACUGAGACGCGCCCCAGACUCCUACGGGAGGCAGCAGUGGGGAAUAUUUCACAAUGGGCGCAAGCCUGAUGCAGCCAUGCCGCGUGUAUGAAGAAGGCCUUAGGGUUGUAAAGUACUUUCAGCGGGGAGGCGUUACCCGCAGAAGAAGCACCGGCUAACUCCGUGCCAGCAGCCGCGGUAAUAC
This 406-nucleotide ribosomal RNA is filed under the name uncultured bacterium. Its description in RNAcentral is "partial 16S ribosomal RNA". It matches the Rfam family "Bacterial small subunit ribosomal RNA", at positions 29 to 526 of the family's 1533-position model. The record is from RNAcentral.